UUUUUUUUUUUUUUUUUUUUUGGUUCUUUUUUUGGAGCUGGGGACCGAACCCAGGGCCUUGCGCUUCCUAGGCAAGCGCUCUACCACUGAGCUAAAUCCCCAAACCCCUCAGACUCUGAUUUAACAGUGUCAUAACUUACAGAUGAGAUGAAAACUGUUUCCUGUGAAGCGUCAGGAGUGAGUCAAAUGGCAUGCUUACAGGACCUGGGCAUGGCUCAAUGGGAAAGUAAGAAAACACAAUGUCUGUGCAUGUGUUAUGUACAUAUGCUUGUGAGCACCUGUGUGUGCAGAAGCCAGAGGAAAAAUGCCUGCUGUUCUGCUGAGACAUCUCUUACUGAACCUGGAGCUAGGCUGCUACAGUGAGCUCCAGAGUCCUCCUGUGUCUGUACCCCUGCCCUACACUGCCCCUACCACUGGGUCACAGGUGUGCACAGCCACAGAGCUUUUUACGUGGGUGCUGGGGAUUUGAAUUUAGGGGGAACUUUAUCUGACUUUAUUAGUAGGGAUUUAAAGCUAGAGGUCUUAGUAUGAGGAUUGGCAAAGUAACAGCAGUGGGUAGAAUGGAAGGUUAAGGUGGACCACAGGUGAUGGACCCAUUGGUCUUUGACACACCAUAUGAGGGGGCUGGAGAGGUGGCUGGGAGAUUAGGAGCACUUGUUCUUGCAGGGGACCCACCUGUAUGAUGGAUCAUGACCAUUCAUGCUAUAAUUAACUCCAGUCUAGGGGGUUGGACACCCUCUUCUCACUUCUGUGAGCACCGGCAUGCAAACAGGGUACAUAAGUGUAAGCAAAGCACUCAUGCACAUAGACCAAAAAUAAACUUGAGAUAGACAAUAGAAGUAUGAGAACUAGGGGUGGGGAUUUAGCUCAGUGGUAGAGCACUUGCCUAGCAAGCGCAAGGCCCUGGGUUCGGGCCUCAGCUCUGAAAAAAAAAAAAAAGAGAAGUAUGAGAACUAAACUGAAAUAUUUACAAGAAAACAUUCAUGACCUUUUAGAUAGGCAGAAUUCUGUGUAAACUAAAAAAUACCAUGAAAGAAUUUACAAGUAGAACUUCCUCAAAAUAAUUUCCACUCAUCAAAAGGUGGUGUUAAGGAAGUGGGAAGACAAGCUCCAGUGGGGAAUUCAUGGGUGUAUGCAGAGACACAGAAUUGUGUAUCACACUGUGCUGGUUUGGUUGUUUUUGAUCAACAAACCAGAGUCACCAGGGAAGAGGGAACCUUAGUUGAGAAAAUGCCUCCAUCAGAUUGGUGGGUGGACAAGUGAAGCAGUCUGAAUGAGAGUGGCUCCCACUUACUUUGAACAUGUGGUCCUCGGUUGUUUGGAAAGGAUUAGAUGUGUGGCCUUGCUAGAGGAGGUAUGCUACUAGGGAUGGGCACUGAAGUUUCAAAAGCCUGGACCAGUCUCUUCUCUUCUCUUCUCUUCUCUUCUCUUCUCUUCUCUUCUCUUCUCUUCUCUUUCUUCUCUUCUCUUCUCUUCUCCUUCUCUUUUCUCUCUCUCUCUCUCUCUCUCUCUCUCUCUCUCUCUCUCUCUCUCUGCCUGCUGCUUUUGAACCAGAUGUGACCUCUCAGCUACUGCUGCCGUGCUCCCUGCUGUGAAGGUCAUAGACUUUAACUCUCGAAACCACAAACCCCCAAUAAACUAGUAUAAAUUGCCUUGGCCAUUCUGUCUUACCACACCAAUAGAAAAGUAACUAAGACAAUAAGUCUGUAAGGCAUUUUCUUUAUUCACAGUUGAUAUGAGAGGGCCCACCCCAUUGUGGGCAGUGCAGCCCUCGGCAGAUAGUCCUAGGUUGUAUAAAAAAGGGAACCCAAGAGAGUCAUUCAUCCAUGGUCUCCACUUCAGUUCUUUUUUUUUUUAAAUUUAUUUUUUUUAAGAUUUUAUUUUAUUGUAUAUGAGUACACUGUAGCUGCCUUCAGACACACCAGAAGAGGGCAUCAGAUCUCAUUACAGAUGGUUGUGAGCCACCAUGUGGUUGCUGGGAUUUGAACUCAGGACCUCAGGAAGAGCAGUCAGUGCUCUUAACCACUGAGCCAUCUCUCCAGCCCUCCGCUUCAGUUCUUAUUUCCAGGCCUUGAAUCCCUUCUCUGACUUUCCGCAAUGAUGGACUGUAAGCUGUAAGACGAGAUAAACAUUUUCCACCCCAAGUUUCUUUUGGUCAUGGCGUUUAUCACAGCAAGAGAAAGCGACCUAAGACAUAAACCUGACUUAAAAAUGGACUGUCUUUUAAGAACGAUUUAUUUUCGUGUCUGUGGGUAUGUGCAUGCAUGGGUGUAGGUGCCAAGAAGUUGGGGAGACAUUAGAUCCUCAAGUUAACAGUCAGUUGUGAGCUGCCCAACAUACAUGUUGGUAACCCAGCCAGAGCCCUUUACAAGAGCAGUGCCAACUCUUCAGGCCAAAAGGGAUUCUCAGACAGAAACUGACAAAUGUUCAACAGACGCAUGAAAAGGUAGCAUUGCUACAGGAUGAAGGAAUGCGAAACAAGAGAAAGGGAUGCCAUCACAGCCACAGGAAAGCGCGGCGUGAAGACCAGCAGUGUGAGUUCUGUAAGGUGCAGAGCAACUGCAGUCCUCACACAGUGCGGGCAGAAUACAAAACGGGCCAGCCCGGUUAAAAACUUAAAGAGAAUGGUGCUAGUAGUCCUAGCAUUUGUUGACAGGUAGAGGCAGGUUGAGUUGAAGAGAACACUGACAACAUCAGACUUUGUCAUUACACAGUUAACCUCUGAAGCAGAAAUUCCACUUUGAAUGUUUGGAGAGAAAUUGGUCUACAAAAAGACUUGGAUAAAAAUGUUAUCACCUUUGCACAAGUUAGAAACAAGUCGAGUAUUCAUUAAGAGAAUAAAUGUAAGGGGAUCAGGGGAUAGCCUGCAUGAAGCCCUGAGUUUGGAUUCCUAGCACCCAUAUAAAAGUGGGCACUGGGGUCACAAGUCUGUAGCUCCACCAGUGUGGGGCUGCUAGGGAGAGCCAUCUUGAGUUCAGCAACCUUCCAGUGUAGCCAGAGUGUGAGUUCCCGUUUCAGUAAGGAAUCCUAUCUCAAAAUGAAGGUGGAGAAUUACAGAGGAAAGACACCCACCAUUGGAUUGGACUCCUUCUCCUCUCCUCUCCUCUCCUCUCCUCUCCUCUCCUCCUCUCCUCCUCUCUUCUCUCUCCUCUCUUCUCUCUCUCCACACACACACACAUACACACACACACACACAAAGAAUAAAUGGUGACAUUCAUAUGUUAAUUUUCUCCCCCACUGCUUCGACACAACCAAAAACAACUUGGGAAGGAGCAACUCCCAGUGACAUUCAUUGAGACAAGUCAGAGCAGAAACUGACUCAGAAGCCAUGAAGGAACACUGCUUACUAGCUUGCUCCCAUGGCUUGCUCAGCCUGCUCUCUUAGAGUCCAGGACUACCUGCCCAGGGGUGACAGUGCCCAAUCCCCGAUCAAUCAUGAAUCAAGGAAAUGACCUACAGACUUAGCUACCCACUAAUCUGAUGGAGGCAUUUUUCUUUUCAGUUAAGGUUCCCUCUCUGAUGACCCUUGCUUGUGUCACAUGAACAAAAGCCAAUCCACACAGAUCAUAUUGACAUCAAUAGAUAGAUAGAUAGAUUAGAUGAUAGAUGAUAGAUAGAUAGAUAGAUAGAUAGAUAGAUAGAUAGAUAGAUAGAUAGUGUCAAUGGUUUCCAAGAUGUUGAACAGUAUUAGAUUUAACAGCGUACAUGCUAUUUUUGAAAUGCAUUCAAAGAUAGGCUAAAGUAUGGUGGAUCACACCUGUGAUUCUAGCACUCGGGAGGUUGAGGCUGGGGAAUUGUUAACAGGUUUGAAACCAGCCUUAGCCACUUAGUGAGUCUAGGGCUAGAUUAAGCUACAGAGUGAAGCCCUGACUCAAACAAGCAGGGCAGCCCAGUAAGAGUGCAUGUGGCCAGACGGCCUAUAUUGGUGGAAGGGGAGAACUGAUGGUGUGAACUCGAACCUCUCCUGAAUCUUUAUUACAUUUUAAAAAAUAUGUGUAUCAGGAGGCAGAGGCAGGUAGUGAGUUCAAGAUGAACCUGAGCUGCAGUGAGUUCCAGGUCAGCCUGGGCUACACCAUUAGACCUGGUCUCUAAAUAAAUACACAAGACAAAAGUAAUUCACAGUGAUAAAAAGUCAAAACAGUGGUCACUUGUUUUCUUUCUGGAGAUAUUCUAGUGUGCUAGGAUGUGCCACAUCUGAGUUGGUGGAUGCAAAUCUGUUCUAAAUAGGGGUUGGGGAUUUAGCUCAGUGGUAGAGCACUCGCCUAGCAAGCACAAGGCCCUGGGUUCGGUCCUCAGCUUAAAAAAAAAAAAAAAAAGAUACGGGGCACUUUGCUCUAUGUAAACUAUAACACAAAGGAAAUAUCAAAACGAACUGUAUCUAGGAAGUUUCAAUUAUUGAGGACUUUGUGUUGAAACUUAGUGAAGAUUUAUAAAUUAAUUAAACUGUAUUUGGGGAAACAGUAUUUUCAUUGUUAAAAAGACAAUAAAUGGAUUCUAUAUUCUAAUAAACUUACAAAUCAACAGAAACAGAAAUAAGAGAGUUGAAAAAGAAAAGUGAGUAAAAGGAAAUGUUUCUUUAAAAGCGUGGGAACAACUAGGAGAGUUUGAAGACUAUCUGGGAUGCCCAGUGGGUGGUUCUUGUGAUUUUUUUUUUUUUUGUCUUUAAACUUCAGUACCUUAUUCUGCAAAAGCAUGUGAUUGGAAUAUAAUCCAGGAUCCAUUCAUCUGCUUAGAAUUGAAAACAAAAUCUGAGGCUGGGAAUGUGGCUCAGUGGUAGAGCGUUUGCACAAGGCUCUGUGUUCUCUCAGUUCUGCAAAACCACAAAAAAACCUGUUGACCAUUGAUCAAACUGAUUCCAGCUGACAUUUAUGCUUCAAGUAGCAGGUGUCCGACAAUGUACAUACGUUAGCUCGCAUUAGGUACAUGAUGGCUUCCGCAAAGCUUAGGUAGUGUUACCACCUUGGAUAUCACUAAGUCACCAAGCUUGUCAGCGCUGAUGUGGCUACGACUUCAUGAACUGAGGCCUGACCCAGGUCCCCAGUUGCGAAUGUGUGGUUGUUAGUGGAGACCGCCUUCGCUGAUCGAAAGGGCCCCGCUACCUGCAAGCGCAGGUGGAGGAGUGAUCUCAUUAGACUCUCUAGGCACUAGGCCACACGGCCCAGGGUCUCUCGUUGGGUCCCGAGCUCCCGUGUUCCGUAGCGCCGCGCACCACCCCCGGGGCCUUCAGGUUGUCGGAGGCGGGGACGCGCAUAGGCCGGCGGGAGCGCGCCGAGCUGAGAGGCCUGUGAGCCCAGCUGAGGGAGACAUGCGGCGGACUCGCAGCGCGGUGGCCACUGACCCGCGGGAGCAGCGGCGCUCGGGGGCCUCCGGGGGCCUGAGCGGCGGCGAAAGCCGCGCGCGGCGCUACCAGAGCAGGACUAGGGCCGGGGGCGGGGGCGGGGCGGCCAGUUCGCAGCUGUCCUCAAAGCCGCGGCCCAAGCCACCGCCGCGGGCCCUGGCGGCGGCCGCGGAGGAGCCGCCGCCGGCGGACACCCCCGCCGCCUCGGUGUCGGCGUUCGACCUGGGGGAGCAGCGGGAGCGCUGGGAGACGUUCCAGAAGCGGCAACGGCUCAGCUUCGAGGGCGCCGCCAAGCUGCUGCUGGACACCUUUGAGUACCAGGGCCUGGUGAAGCACACAGGAGGCUGCCACUGUGGAGCAGUUCGUUUUGAAGUUUGGGCUUCGGCAGACUUACACAUCUUUGACUGCAAGGUCGGGAGGGGGAGGGCAGCAGAAAUGAGGUCCAGGAUUGCUGAAUGCUGUGUGGUCUUCCCUGCUGGCUCUGUCACCAGUAGGCUUCACUGCCAUGAAGAGCCGAGGCUUCAGGUGGCCUGUCCAGCUGCCUAAGUCCUCUCCCCUGGAUGGUGCUGAGAAGGCUGUCCCACUUGAGCUGUAGCAUUUGCAAGAAGAAGCAGAAUAGACACUUCAUUGUUCCAGCUUCUCGCUUCAAACUCCUGAAGGGUGCUGAGAGCAUAACCACCUACACAUUUAACACGCACAAAGCCCAGCACACCUUCUGUAAGAGAUGC
Non-coding RNA from Rattus norvegicus (Norway rat), 6066 nucleotides. Lineage: Eukaryota; Metazoa; Chordata; Mammalia; Rodentia; Muridae. The record is from RefSeq and is a predicted model, not a curated record.